GUGUUGCAUGAAAGGAGGGAAGGCUAGCACUCCCCUUGACAAGGAUGGAAGAGGCCCUUGGGCCUGACAACACAGGUAUGGUUAAAACUGGAUCAGAGCAGAGGGGUGAAACUGAUAAGACUUCAUUUGAUU
Small nuclear RNA from Ochotona princeps (American pika), 132 nucleotides. The record is from Ensembl. NCBI's taxonomy places the organism in Eukaryota, Metazoa, Chordata, Mammalia, Lagomorpha, Ochotonidae.